ACCUACGGGAGGCAGCAGUGGGGAAUAUUGCACAAUGGGCGCAAGCCUGAUGCAGCGACGCCGCGUGAGGGAUGAAGGCCUUCGGGUUGUAAACCUCUUUCAGCAGGGAAGAAGCGUGAGUGACGGUACCUGCAGAAGAAGCACCGGCUAACUACGUGCCAGCAGCCGCGGUAAUACGUAGGGUGCGAGCGUUGUCCGGAAUUAUUGGGCGUAAAGAGCUCGUAGGCGGCCUGUCGCGUCGGAUGUGAAAGCCCGGGGCUCAACCCCGGGUCUGCAUUCGAUACGGGCAGGCUGGAGUUCGGCAGGGGAGAUCGGAAUUCCUGGUGUAGCGGUGAAAUGCGCAGAUAUCAGGAGGAACACCGGUGGCGAAGGCGGAUCUCUGGGCCGAUACUGACGCUGAGGAGCGAAAGCGUGGGGAGCGAACAGGAUUAGAUACCCUGGUAGC
RNAcentral lists this ribosomal RNA (445 nucleotides) under uncultured bacterium. RNAcentral's name for it is "bacterial SSU rRNA". It matches the Rfam family "Bacterial small subunit ribosomal RNA", at positions 337 to 794 of the family's 1533-position model. The record is from RNAcentral.